RNAcentral lists this ribosomal RNA (358 nucleotides) under Protonemura alcazaba. RNAcentral describes it as "partial 12S ribosomal RNA". Lineage: Eukaryota; Metazoa; Arthropoda; Insecta; Plecoptera; Nemouridae. The record is from RNAcentral.
UUUAAAUGUAAAUUAUAUAAACUUGAGUAGUAUUAGUUAUGUUCUUGAAACUCAAAGAAUUUGGCGGUGUUUUAGUCUGUUCAGAGGAACCUGUCCCGUAAUCGAUAUUCCACGUUAAACCUUACUUAUUUUUGUUAUCAGCUUGUAUACCGCCGUCGUCAGAAUGUCCUAAGAAGGGUUUAAUUUUCUUAAAUUUUUAUUAAAAAUGAUGUCAGGUCAAGGUGUAGCUUACGAAUAAGUGGUGAUGGGUUACAAUAAAUAUAUUUAUAACGGAUAAAAUUUUGAAAUAAAUUUUUGAAGGUGGAUUUGACGGUAAUUAACUUAAUUAAAUUAAUUUGAUUUUAGCUCUAAAACAUGC